Molecule: ribosomal RNA, 326 nt
Filed under: uncultured eukaryote
Lineage: Eukaryota
Description: partial 18S ribosomal RNA
Rfam family: Eukaryotic small subunit ribosomal RNA
Source: RNAcentral
CCCUUAGAUGUUCUGGGCUGCACGCGCGCUACACUGAUGCACUCAACGAGUUUACGACCUUGCCCGAUAGGGUUGGGUAAUCUUUUUAAAAUGCAUCGUGAUGGGGAUAGAUUAUUGCAAUUAUUAAUCUUCAACGAGGAAUUCCUAGUAAGCGCGAGUCAUCAGCUCGUGCUGAUUACGUCCCUGCCCUUUGUACACACCGCCCGUCGCUCCUACCGAUUGAGUGCUCAGGUGAAUAAUUCGGACUGCAGCAAUGUUUGGAUCCCGGACGUUGCAGCGGAAAGUUUAGUGAACCUUAUCACUUAGAGGAAGGAGAAGUCGUAACA